AUUGAAUUUUGAACUUGAGAAAUUGAUUGAAAUGAUUGUGGAGUUGUUGAAAUGGAUUGAGUUUGAUUAUGAAAUUGAAGUAGUUGUUGAGAAAACAUUUUUAGAAGUGUUUUUUACAGGUAUUUGAAGAACUGGUUUCUCAAAAUACAGACAGAACUCUAUCAAAAUUUUUAUAAAAUUUGCGGCAAAAUUAAAAUGGACAAAAAUUUUACUAGUUUUUAAGCUUUGAA
This 230-nucleotide unclassified non-coding RNA is filed under the name Hevea brasiliensis (rubber tree). Lineage: Eukaryota; Viridiplantae; Streptophyta; Magnoliopsida; Malpighiales; Euphorbiaceae. The record is from RNAcentral.